This is a non-coding RNA of Podarcis lilfordi (Lilford's wall lizard), 73 nucleotides long. The record is from the annotation of a GenBank genome assembly. Lineage: Eukaryota; Metazoa; Chordata; Lepidosauria; Squamata; Lacertidae.
GAGGGCCGUAGCUCAGUGGUAGAGUAUCAGCGUCACAUGCAGAAGGCCCCAGGUUCAAUCCUUCACAUCUUUA